RNAcentral lists this ribosomal RNA (800 nucleotides) under uncultured eukaryote. RNAcentral's name for it is "bacterial SSU rRNA". It matches the Rfam family "Eukaryotic small subunit ribosomal RNA", at positions 1015 to 1828 of the family's 1831-position model. The record is from RNAcentral.
CCAUCGUAGUUCGCACAGUAAACGAUGCCGACUCGGGAUUGGGUUCUCUUCGCUAUCAUAGAAGGAUCUCGGCACCGUAUGUGAAAACAAAGUCUUUGGGUUCCGGGGGGAGUAUGGUCGCAAGGUUGAAACUUAAAGGAAUUGACGGAAGGGCACACCAGAGGUGGAGCCUGCGGUUUAAUUUGACUCAACACGGGGAAACUCACCAGGUCCAGACAUGAGAAGGAUUGACAGUUUGAAAGCACUUUCUUGAUUUCAUGGGUGGUGGUGCAUGGCCGUUCUUAGUUGGUGGAGUGAUUUGUCUGGUUGAUUCCGAUAACGAACGAGACUCUCAGAGUAAACUGGCUUAGGUCGUAAUUCACGUUACUUCCGGCCUCUUUUCUCGACAAUUCGUAUAAAGCGAAAGGAAGCGGAGAGCAAUAACAGGUCUGUGAUGCCCCUCGAUGUUCUGGGCCACACGCGCGCUACAAUGACGAAUUCAACGAGCUGUUUUCUCCUUGCCCGGAAGGGUGUGGGUAAUCUUUUCAAUGUUCGUCGUGAUGGGGCUAGAUUUUUGCAAUUAUUAAUCUUCAACGAGGAAUCUCUAGUAUGUGCAGUUCAUCAGACUGCGCAGAAUGCGUCCCUGCCCUUUGUACACACCGCCCGUCGCACCUACCGAUUGGACGAUCCGGCAAGAUGUUCGGAGUUGCGUUUGUUGGGCUCUCGGGUCUGACUUAUGCGACAAAGCUCCUCAAACCUUAUCGUCUAGAGGAAGGUGAAGUCGUAACAAGGUUUCCGUAGGUGAACCUGCAGAAGGAUCA